GAUGAAGAACGUAGCGAAAUGCGAUAAGUAAUGUGAAUUGCAGAAUUCAGUGAAUCAUCGAAUGUUUGAACGCACAUUGCGCCCGCCAGUAUUCUGGCGGGCAUGCCUGUUCGAGCGUCAUUUCAACCAUCAAGCUCUGCUUGCGUUGGGGUCCUGCGGCUGCCCGCAGGCCCUGAAAACCAGUGGCGGGCUCGCUAGUCACACCGAGCGCAGUAAUACAUCUCGAUUUGGGCGUGCGGCGGGUUCUUGCCGUUAAACACCCCCUUUUUACCAAGGUUGACCUCGGAUCAGGUAGGAAUACCCGCUGAACUUAAGCAUAUCAAUAAGCGGAGGA
This 334-nucleotide unclassified non-coding RNA is filed under the name soil metagenome. RNAcentral's name for it is "partial contains 5.8S ribosomal RNA, internal transcribed spacer 2, and large subunit ribosomal RNA". The stretch from base 1 to 120 matches the Rfam family "5.8S ribosomal RNA", at positions 35 to 154 of the family's 154-position model. The record is from RNAcentral.